GACGAACGCUGGCGGCGUGCUUAACACAUGCAAGUCGAACGCUGAAGCUCAGCUUUUGUUGGGUGGAUGAGUGGCGAACGGGUGAGUAACACGUGAGUAACCUGCCCCCUUCUUUGGGAUAACGCCCGGAAACGGGUGCUAAUACUGGAUAUUCACUGGUCUUCGCAUGGGGGUUGGUGGAAAGGGUUUUUCUGGUGGGGGAUGGGCUCGCGGCCUAUCAGCUUGUUGGUGGGGUGAUGGCCUACCAAGGCUUUGACGGGUAGCCGGCCUGAGAGGGUGUCCGGUCACAUUGGGACUGAGAUACGGCCCAGACUCCUACGGGAGGCAGCAGUGGGGAAUAUUGCACAAUGGGCGCAAGCCUGAUGCAGCGACGCCGCGUGAGGGAUGGAGGCCUCCGGGUUGUGAACCUCUUUCGCUCAUGGUCAAGCCGCAACAAUGGUUGUGGUGAGGGUAGUGGGUAAAGAAGCGCCGGCUAACUACGUG
This 483-nucleotide ribosomal RNA is filed under the name uncultured bacterium. RNAcentral describes it as "partial 16S ribosomal RNA". It matches the Rfam family "Bacterial small subunit ribosomal RNA", at positions 28 to 507 of the family's 1533-position model. The record is from RNAcentral.